UAGCUAGUUGGUGGGGUAAGGGCCUACCAAGGCGACGAUCGGUAGCUGGUCUGAGAGGAUGACCAGCCACACUGGAACUGAGACACGGUCCAGACUCCUACGGGAGGCAGCAGUGGGGAAUAUUGGACAAUGGGGGCAACCCUGAUCCAGCAAUGCCGCGUGUGUGAAGAAGGCCUGAGGGUUGUAAAGCACUUUCAGUGGGGAGGAGGGUUGAUAGGUUAAGAGCUAAUUAACUGGACGUUACCCACAGAAGAAGCACCGGCUAACUCCGUGCCAGCAGCCGCGGUAAUACGGAGGGUGCGAGCGUUAAUCGGAAUUACUGGGCGUAAAGGGUGCGUAGGUGGUUGAUUAAGUUAUCUGUGAAAUUCCUGGGCUUAACCUGGGACGGUCAGAUAAUACUGGUUGACUCGAGUAUGGGAGAGGGUAGUGGAAUUUCCGGUGUAGCGGUGAAAUGCGUAGAGAUCGGAAGGAACACCAGUGGCGAAGGCGGCUACCUGGCCUAAUACUGACACUGAGGCACGAAAGCGUGGGGAGCAAACAGGAUUAGAUACCCUGGUAGUCCACGCUGUAAACGAUGUCAACUAGCUGUUGGUUAUAUGAAGAUAAUUAGUGGCGC
RNAcentral lists this ribosomal RNA (616 nucleotides) under uncultured Legionella sp. RNAcentral's name for it is "bacterial SSU rRNA". It matches the Rfam family "Bacterial small subunit ribosomal RNA", at positions 242 to 849 of the family's 1533-position model. The record is from RNAcentral. Lineage: Bacteria; Pseudomonadati; Pseudomonadota; Gammaproteobacteria; Legionellales; Legionellaceae.